CAGGAUUGCCUCAGUAGCGGCGAGUGAAGCGGCAAGAGCUCAGAUUUGAAAUCGUGCUUUGCGGCACGAGUUGUAGAUUGCAGGUUGGAGUCUGUGUGGAAGGCGGUGUCCAAGUCCCUUGGAACAGGGCGCCCAGGAGGGUGAGAGCCCCGUGGGAUGCCGGCGGAAGCAGUGAGGCCCUUCUGACGAGUCGAGUGUUUGGGAAUGCAGCUCCAAGCGGGUGGUAAAUUCCAUCUAAGGCUAAAUACUGGCGAGAGACCGAUAGCGAACAAGUACUGUGAAGGAAAGAUGAAAAGCACUUUGAAAAGAGAGUGAAACAGCACGUGAAAUUGUUGAAAGGGAAGGGUAUUGCGCCCGACAUGGGGAUUGCGCACCGCUGCCUCUCGUGGGCGGCGCUCUGGGCUUUCCCUGGGCCAGCAUCGGUUCUUGCUGCAGGAGAAGGGGUUCUGGAACGUGGCUCUUCGGAGUGUUAUAGCCAGGGCCAGAUGCUGCGUGCGGGGACCGAG
This 506-nucleotide ribosomal RNA is filed under the name Pichia kudriavzevii. RNAcentral's name for it is "eukaryotic LSU rRNA". It matches the Rfam family "Eukaryotic large subunit ribosomal RNA", at positions 70 to 643 of the family's 3401-position model. Lineage: Eukaryota; Fungi; Ascomycota; Pichiomycetes; Pichiales; Pichiaceae. The record is from RNAcentral.